Salmo salar (Atlantic salmon) is the source of this 54-nucleotide non-coding RNA. Lineage: Eukaryota; Metazoa; Chordata; Actinopteri; Salmoniformes; Salmonidae. The record is from Rfam.
AAUGCACCAAUUUGUAAGUCGCUCUGGAUAAGAGCAUCUGCUAAAUGUCUUAAA